GAUGAACGCUGGCGGCGUGCCUAAUACAUGCAAGUAGAACGCUGAAGGAGGAGCUUGCUCUUCUGGAUGAGUUGCGAACGGGUGAGUAACGCGUAGGUAACCUGCCUGGUAGCGGGGGAUAACUAUUGGAAACGAUAGCUAAUACCGCAUGACAACAGUUAUUGCAUGAUAACUGUUUAAAAGGGGCAACUGCUCCACUACCAGAUGGACCUGCGUUGUAUUAGCUAGUUGGUGAGGUAACGGCUCACCAAGGCGACGAUACAUAGCCGACCUGAGAGGGUGAUCGGCCACACUGGGACUGAGACACGGCCCAGACUCCUACGGGAGGCAGCAGUAGGGAAUCUUCGGCAAUGGACGGAAGUCUGACCGAGCAACGCCGCGUGAGUGAAGAAGGUUUUCGGAUCGCAAAGCUCUGUUGUAAGAGAAGAACGAGUGUGAGAGUGGAAAGUUCACACUGUGACGGUAUCUUACCAGAAAGGGACGGCUAACUACGUG
RNAcentral lists this ribosomal RNA (495 nucleotides) under uncultured bacterium. Its description in RNAcentral is "partial 16S ribosomal RNA". It matches the Rfam family "Bacterial small subunit ribosomal RNA", at positions 28 to 507 of the family's 1533-position model. The record is from RNAcentral.